AUGGCGGAUGCACCUCUGUACAAGCAGCGCCGCAAGUACACCAAGGAGCUCCACAAUGUCCACCUCCACGGCAAUCACAAGCUCCACGUCCUUUGCACAAGCAAGGGCAAAGACGUGGACAAGAUGCUAUCCACGUUCAGGAGGAAGCUCGGCGGAAUGCCCGUCAAACUGGUCGGCGUUGAUGUCGAGUACACGCACUACGAGAAGCCACAGCGGGCAGCAGUGCUCCAGCUAUGCGUAGAAAAAGAAUGCCUUGUCUACCACAUCUCUGCAGCUAAAGACAGGCUAAUGGAACUAGACAAAUUCCUCAUGAAUGAUGAGUACACCUUCGUCGGAUUCGCUAUUGAAGGAGAUAAAAUCAAGCUGAAGGUAUCUGGUUUGGAGAUCAACUCCGACAACUACAUUGAUAUUCAGGUGGAAUGGAGAGACCCAUACAAUAAAAAGAAGUUUGACUCUUUGGCUGAUGUUGCCGGCAGGAUGAUAGACAUUCACUACCGGGAAAUGAAGAAAAAAAUUAACCGCAAGGAGGACCAUACUCUGUAG
Molecule: ribosomal RNA, 543 nt
Filed under: Triticum aestivum (bread wheat)
Lineage: Eukaryota; Viridiplantae; Streptophyta; Magnoliopsida; Poales; Poaceae
Description: partial small subunit ribosomal RNA
Source: RNAcentral